This 274-nucleotide ribosomal RNA is filed under the name uncultured bacterium. RNAcentral's name for it is "partial 16S ribosomal RNA". It matches the Rfam family "Bacterial small subunit ribosomal RNA", at positions 523 to 796 of the family's 1533-position model. The record is from RNAcentral.
AUACGGAGGGUCCGAGCGUUAUCCGGAAUCAUUGGGUUUAAAGGGUCCGUAAGCGGGAAUCUAAGUCAGUGGUGAAAUCUUGCAGCUCAACUGUAAAAUUGCCAUUGAUACUGGAUUUCUUGAAUUAGUGUGAAGUGAUUAGAAUGUGUAGUGUAGCGGUGAAAUGCAUAGAUAUUACACAGAAUACCAAUUGCGAAGGCAGAUCACUAACACUAUAUUGACGCUGAGGGACGAAAGCGUGGGGAGCGAACAGGAUUAGAUACCCCAGUAGUCC